RNAcentral lists this ribosomal RNA (253 nucleotides) under uncultured bacterium. Its description in RNAcentral is "partial 16S ribosomal RNA". It matches the Rfam family "Bacterial small subunit ribosomal RNA", at positions 524 to 776 of the family's 1533-position model. The record is from RNAcentral.
UACGGGGGGGGUAAGCGUUGUUCGGAAUUACUGGGCGUAAAGGGCUCGUAGGCGGCCAACUAAGUCGGACGUGAAAUCCCUCAGCUUAACUGGGGAACUGCGUCCGAUACUGUAAGUCUUGAAUGUGGUAGAGGUUACUAGAAUUCCCGGUGUAGUGGUGAAAUACGUAGAUAUCAGGAGGAACACCGGUGGCGAAGGCGGGUCUCUGGGCCGAUACUGACGCUGAGGAGCGAAAGCGUGGGGAGCGAACAGG